ACCCGCAUCGUUUCGUGGGUUUGGAAACGACGGGUGAGCGACGGUGAAGUUCCGGUGCGGUUUUUGGGACUUCCGGUUUGUUCGGUAAUCAGUUUUGGGAAACCGAUUCUCGUGAAAUUGUUUGUGGGAUUGUUGUGGGUUAUGCCUUUAGGGUUUCUUAGUUGUGGGUUAGACACUAAUCCAGUGGACCCUCCUUAGGUCCGGUUGACGUUCUUUUGCAGUCAGGAGACAGACGCGACAGUUGUACAGGUGGGUACUU
This 259-nucleotide long non-coding RNA is filed under the name Ananas comosus (pineapple). RNAcentral's name for it is "long non-coding RNA (ACOM_LNC038030)". Lineage: Eukaryota; Viridiplantae; Streptophyta; Magnoliopsida; Poales; Bromeliaceae. The record is from RNAcentral.